This 253-nucleotide ribosomal RNA is filed under the name uncultured bacterium. RNAcentral's name for it is "partial 16S ribosomal RNA". It matches the Rfam family "Bacterial small subunit ribosomal RNA", at positions 524 to 776 of the family's 1533-position model. The record is from RNAcentral.
UACGGGGGGGGCAAGCGUUGUUCGGAAUUACUGGGCGUAAAGGGCUCGUAGGUGGCCAACUAAGUCAGACGUGAAAUCCCCAGGCUCAACUUGGGAACUGCGUCUGAUACUGGAUGGCUUGAAUUCGGGAGAGGGAUGCAGAAUUCCAGGUGUAGCGGUGAAAUGCGUAGAUAUCUGGAGGAACACCGGUGGCGAAGGCGGUUCUCUGGGCAUUACCUGACGCUGAGGAGCGAAAGUGUGGGGAGCGAACAGG